UUAAAGGGCUGCAGUAAUUUGACUGUACAAAGGUAGCAUAAUCAUUAGUCAUUUAAUUGAUGACUUGUAUGAAAGAUUGGAUGAAAUAUAAACUGUCUCUUAAUUAUAAAUAGAAUUUAAUUUUUUAAUUAAAAAGUUAAAAUAAAUUAAAAAGACGAGAAGACCCUAUAGAGUUUUAUAAUUUUAAUAAUUAAGAUUAUUUAAAUAAAUUAAUUAAAAUUAUUAAAAUUAUUUUGUUGGGGUGACAGAAAAAUAAAUAUAACUUUUUUUAAAAAUUAAACAUAUAUAAAUGAAAAUUUGAUCCAAUAAUAUUGAUUAUAAGAAAAAAUUACCUUAGGGAUAACAGCGUAAUUUUUUUUUUUAGUUCAUAUAAAAAAAAGAGUUUGCGACCUCGAUGUUGGAUUAAGAUAAAAUUUAAAUGCAGAAG
Molecule: ribosomal RNA, 427 nt
Filed under: Leucania comma
Lineage: Eukaryota; Metazoa; Arthropoda; Insecta; Lepidoptera; Noctuidae
Description: partial 16S large subunit ribosomal RNA
Source: RNAcentral